AACGAACGCUGGCGGCAUGCCUAACACAUGCAAGUCGAACGAGACCUUCGGGUCUAUUGGCGCACGGGUGCGUAACGCGUGGGAACCUGCCUUUAGGUUCGGAAUAACUCAGAGAAAUUUGAGCUAAUACCGGAUGAUGUCUUCGGACCAAAGAUUUAUCGCCUUUAGAUGGGCCCGCGUUGGAUUAGCUAGUUGGUGGGGUAAAGGCCUACCAAGGCGACGAUCCAAAGCUGGUCUGAGAGGAUGAUCAGCCACACUGGGACUGAGACACGGCCCAGACUCCUCCGAAAGGCAGAAGGGGGGAAGAUGGAACAAUGCGCGAGAGCCUAAUGCAGCAAGGCCGCGAGAGUGAUGAAGGCGUGAGGAUUGAAAAGCUCUUUUACCCGAGAUGAUAAGAAGGGUACCGAGAGAAUAAGCACGGCUGAACUCCGU
RNAcentral lists this ribosomal RNA (432 nucleotides) under uncultured bacterium. RNAcentral's name for it is "partial 16S ribosomal RNA". It matches the Rfam family "Bacterial small subunit ribosomal RNA", at positions 29 to 506 of the family's 1533-position model. The record is from RNAcentral.